This 440-nucleotide ribosomal RNA is filed under the name uncultured bacterium. RNAcentral describes it as "partial 16S ribosomal RNA". It matches the Rfam family "Bacterial small subunit ribosomal RNA", at positions 338 to 795 of the family's 1533-position model. The record is from RNAcentral.
CCUACGGGAGGCUGCAGUAGGGAAUAUUGCUCAAUGGGGGAAACCCUGAAGCAGCAACGCCGCGUGGAGGAUGAAGGUUUUCGGAUUGUAAACUCCUUUUGUUAGAGAAGAUAAUGACGGUAUCUAACGAAUAAGCACCGGCUAACUCCGUGCCAGCAGCCGCGGUAAUACGGAGGGUGCAAGCGUUACUCGGAAUCACUGGGGGUAAAGAGCGCGUAGGCGGGAUAGCAAGUCAGAUGUGAAAUCCUAUGGCUUAACCAUAGAACUGCAUUUGAAACUGUUGUUCUAGAGUAUGGGAGAGGUAGGUGGAAUGCUUGGUGUAGGGGUGAAAUGCGUAGAGAUCAGGAGGAAUACUGAUUGCGAAGGCGACCUGCUAGAACAUAACUGACGCUGAUGCGCGAAAGCGUGGGGAGCAAACAGGAUUAGAUACCCUUGUAGUC